UACAGGGGGAGCAAGCGUUGUUCGGAUUUACUGGGCGUAAAGGGCGCGUAGGCGGUCAGCACAAGUCAGUUGUGAAAUCUCCGAGCUUAACUCGGAAAGGUCAACUGAAACUGUGCGACUAGAGUGCGGAAGGGGCAACUGGAAUUCUUGGUGUAGCGGUGAAAUGCGUAGAUAUCAAGAGGAAGACCAGUGGCGAAGGCGGGUCUCUGGACAGUUCCUGACACUGAGACACGAAGGCCAGGGGAGCAAACGGG
Molecule: ribosomal RNA, 254 nt
Filed under: uncultured bacterium
Lineage: Bacteria
Description: partial 16S ribosomal RNA
Rfam family: Bacterial small subunit ribosomal RNA
Source: RNAcentral